RNAcentral lists this ribosomal RNA (465 nucleotides) under uncultured bacterium. Its description in RNAcentral is "partial 16S ribosomal RNA". It matches the Rfam family "Bacterial small subunit ribosomal RNA", at positions 28 to 507 of the family's 1533-position model. The record is from RNAcentral.
GACGAACGCUGGCGGCGUGCUUAACACAUGCAAGUCGAACGGAAAGGCCCCUUCGGGGGUACUCGAGUGGCGAACGGGUGAGUAACACGUGAGUAACCUGCCCUUGACUUCGGGAUAACUUCAGGAAACUGGGGCUAAUACCGGAUAGGAAUCCUUGCUGCAUGGUGGGGGUUGGAAAGCUUCGGCGGUUUUGGAUGGACUCGCGGCUUAUCAGCUUGUUGGUGGGGUAGUGGCUUACCAAGGCUUUGACGGGUAGCCGGCCUGAGAGGGCGACCGGCCACAUUGGGACUGAGAUACGGCCCAGACUCCUACGGGAGGCAGCAGUGGGGAAUAUUGCACAAUGGGCGGAAGCCUGAUGCAGCAACGCCGUGUGCGGGAUGACGGCCUUCGGGUUGUAAACCGCUUUCAGCAGGGGCGAAGCUUGUGGUGACGGUACCUGCAGAAGAAGCACCGGCUAACUACGUG